AUUAUACAUAGUUUUCUUGGUUUUAUAACUUUAUUUUUGUGUCCAGUUAUUGCAAUUUAUUUCAAUUUGUUUUGCUAACUUCAGUAGCAAGUAGCAGUAGGUAGAUAGCUACCAGCUCGAGCAGCUACUGUAUCUACCAGCCGUUUUCACCGCCAAUCCUACUGAAAAUGUUGUUGACUUUUUGUUGAAGAACCCCUUUAAUUCUCUGGGUUACUCGGAAAAGGUGCAAAUUAAAACCGAGGGUAGACCUCUGCCUGAGAUCAGUUUUAUGAAGAAGGAUGAAAAGCUAAAUCCCCUCCUGUUCCCCAAGAGAUGAUAACCACUCCACUCCACUACCAUUGUCAACUCUCUCCUGAUAUCAAGUUUCAGUCAAAUCCUGUCCUGCACUGAAGUCAAGCCUCUGAACACCUCAUUUCAUGCCUCAUACCAUCAUUCAAUCACUGUUUUGAUCCCUUUUCAACACUGUGUAAGUAGCCCUCUCAUUCCCAUUCCACAUAAAUGGUCUUUAUUAAAUGCUUUAGGUUUUUGAAACACACUGUCGUCUCUGUGCGUUCUACACCCAUACCGUAGGUCUCCCAUCCUCCUCAAUUUUCCAAGUCACCAGCUUCCACUGUAUACCAAGUACAAAUACAGUAAAGUACUGUACACACUUUUUCUCUUAGCUAAAUAGUGUUUGUAGACAACUGCUAACUUCAAAGAGUGGGGAAUUCAGGGAGUUGGUCUGAUGGGAAUCCUUGAUGCUAUUGGCCUUCCCCUUGCUUGAGGAACAAUAGAGGAUAGCCCCCCCUCCCCACACUUACCUGGACACUUACUUACCUGUACCACGUAUUGAGAUAUGCUUUUUGUUAUGUAAAUCAGGUGAAAAUGAUACUGGAGUGCUACUUUAAAAUGGUUAUUGUUCAGCAUAUUUACUUUGGGCAGGAUUACGACCCGAGGUAAGAGUGCACAUAAGUGGAACAUAAUUUCCUUUUUAUGGGUAUUCUGAUCUUGAACUAACUUAAGCAUUUGAAUAGCGUGCUAUUCACCUGCUAUUCGUUUUGGGUGGAGAUCAAAUAAAUGAAGGUGUACGGAGGUGUGUCUACAAAUUUACAGAGACACUGUAUUCUGACCUUGACCUAAUCCCCAAAUAAUUCCACCACCUUUACGCAAAGAAAAUCAAUGACUUAAGGUCUAGCGAACCUACUGGUUCCAAGUGGAAAAAGCAUCUACUUUAUUUAAAAAAAUUAAAAAUAACACCACUCUCCAUGUACUGUAAUUUAUAACUUGAUAAGAGCUAUU
This 1278-nucleotide long non-coding RNA is filed under the name Oncorhynchus kisutch (coho salmon). RNAcentral's name for it is "lncRNA (ENSOKIG00005048653.1)". The record is from RNAcentral. Lineage: Eukaryota; Metazoa; Chordata; Actinopteri; Salmoniformes; Salmonidae.